Molecule: ribosomal RNA, 253 nt
Filed under: uncultured bacterium
Lineage: Bacteria
Description: partial 16S ribosomal RNA
Rfam family: Bacterial small subunit ribosomal RNA
Source: RNAcentral
UACGUAGGGUGCGAGCGUUGUCCGGAAUUACUGGGCGUAAAGAGCUCGUAGGUGGUUUGUCGCGUUGUUCGUGAAAACCUGAGGCUUAACCUUGGGCGUGCGGGCGAUACGGGCAGACUGGAGUACUGCAGGGGAGACUGGAAUUCCUGGUGUAGCGGUGGAAUGCGCAGGUAUCAGGAGGAACACCGGUGGCGAAGGCGGGUCUCUGGGCAGUAACUGACGCUGAGGAGCGAAAGCGUGGGGAGCGAACAGG